UCCCAGAGGGCCCCUGAAACAUUUCAAAAAAAAAUUCUCCUAAGGCGAGCUCAGGGAGGACAGAAACCUCCCUUGGAGCAGAAGGGUAAAAGCUUGCUCGAUCCUGAUUUUCAGUGCAAAUACAGACCCUGAAAGCGGGACCUCUCAACCCUCCUGACCUUUUGGGAUUUAAGCAGGAG
RNAcentral lists this non-coding RNA (179 nucleotides) under Pteropus alecto (black flying fox). RNAcentral's name for it is "Eukaryotic large subunit ribosomal RNA". It matches the Rfam family "Eukaryotic large subunit ribosomal RNA", at positions 2621 to 2802 of the family's 3401-position model. RNAcentral also lists the same sequence under 1 other name. The record is from Rfam by way of RNAcentral. Lineage: Eukaryota; Metazoa; Chordata; Mammalia; Chiroptera; Pteropodidae.